GCCCUCCUCUCCUGUUUGUCUGUCCGACGUUGCGAUUGGAGUGCGUUCAGACCAUUUUCUCUUCCCAUCUCCAUACAUGCGCCACGCCUCCACCCAGAAUUCCCAAUUCCACGGCCUCCGGGCCUCCUGCCGCCGAAGCAAGCUCGCCGCCUCGACGGAAUUCUUCUGCCCCCUUCCACCGGGCCGGCGUGGAGCCGAGAUCCGCCCCCGCUGAUUCAUUCUUCUGGUCUGGUUAGAGAUUCCAUCGCUCCAUCAACGAAACGAAGGACACAUAAAAGAACAAAGGUGCCUGUGGGUGAAAGGAAGAAGGGACUAAAGGCGAGGAAAUAAUAAUGGGAAAGGGAGAUGUGGCCACUAGGUCCAAAUCCCAGAAAUCGUCGACAUCACAGAAUGAACAGAGUACACCUACUAAUCCUCCUACAGCAUAUCCUGACUGGUCCCAGUUUCAGGCAUACUAUAAUGUCCCUGGUACGGCUCAAAUGACCCCGCCGGCUUAUUUUCAUUCAACGGUGGCUCCAAGUCCUCAGGGGCAUCCAUAUAUGUGGGGUCCACAGAUGAUGCCUCCUUACGGGACACCGCCACCAUAUGCAACGAUGUAUGCUCAAGGCACACCAUAUCAGCAGGCACCUAUGCCACCGGGCUCACACCCAUACAGCCCAUAUCCUGUUCAAGCACCAAAUGGGACAGUUCAAACUCCUACACCUGGUGCUGGAGGGUCAGAGACAGAUAAGUCAAACAAAAAUAAGCGGAAGACUCCCCUGAAGAGAUCCAAAGGAAGCUUAGGUAGUCUGGAUGUAGUUACAGUAAAAGAUAAAACGCCACCUGCAAAACCUUUAGUGUCAUCCUCCAAUGAAGGUUCUUCACAAAGCGAGAGUGGAAGUGGAAGUUAUUCUGGAGGAAGCAGUACAAAUUCUAAAAGUGGUUCACACACAAAGGAUGGUUCUGAGCAGGGCCCAACUAAUGAUGCUAGCAAUAAAGGAGUCACUGCUCAGGGCACGGCAGUUGAGCCCACACAAGUAUCUUCUGGGCCAGUUGUGCUUAACCCUAUGAUGCCAUAUUGGCCUGUUCCCCCUCCCAUGCCUGGCCAAGCAACUGGUGUAAACAUGGGAAUGGAUUACUGGGGUGCUCCUACUUCUGUACCUAUGCAUGGCAAAGCUGUCGCUGCACCGACAUCAGCUCCUUCAUCAAAUUCUCGUGAUAUCGUUCUCAGUGAUCCGGUCAUACAGGAUGAACGAGAAGUGAAGAAACAAAAACGGAAGCAAUCAAACAGGGAAUCAGCUCGUCGCUCUAGAUUGCGCAAGCAGGCUGAAUGGGAGGAAGUAGCCAGUCGAGCUGAUUUGCUGAAGCAGGAGAACAGUUCACUUAAGGAAGAAUUGAAACAACUUCAGGAGAAGUGUGAUAACUUGACCUCAGAAAAUACAUCUUUACAUGAAAAGCUUAAAGCGCUUGAUAGUGAGAAACCAAAUGGAAACUUGUGAAGCAGGGCCUCGCUUUCUGACUGCUGAUAUAAAUUGGAGGUGACAUGAUAGGCCGGAGAUAAUUAGGAGGUGUUCAUGUGUGCAAUUAGAUUUUUGGCUGAGAUGGUAGGAUUGUAUCAUAGGAUUCAACAUGAUGGCUACAGAUUCUUCUUCUUCCAGUCGUGGCAGCUGCGGUGCUCUAUGGUGUGUUUUUUUUCCUGCUUUUAUGUGAGAUGCUACCUUAGCAGUAUGCAAAGAUCCCCAAGUUAUAUUUGAGACUUUGCGGGAUUAGCUUAUAAGAUGCUUGUUGUAGAGCUGCUGGUUGACCUGAACUGAUGCUUUGCUAUAGCGAUGAUUUAUAACAUUCAGAGUUACUUACCAAUGUGUAUACUGCACUGAGUGAUAAGUGGUAUUGAAGGAAUUAUGCACUCCUGCUUGCAUCAUACUCUCUCUGUUCCAAAAUAAGUGGUGGUUUAUUCAAAUUUGAACUAAAACCACGACACUUAUUUUGGAAUGGAGGGAGUACCACUGAAAGAUGGUGUUACAGGAAUUCUGCUUGUACCAUUAAUGUUGUUUCUGAAAAUGUCAGUAGUUUCAGCU
RNAcentral lists this ribosomal RNA (2057 nucleotides) under Triticum aestivum (bread wheat). RNAcentral describes it as "partial small subunit ribosomal RNA". Lineage: Eukaryota; Viridiplantae; Streptophyta; Magnoliopsida; Poales; Poaceae. The record is from RNAcentral.